GGGAUCUUAGCUCAGCUGGGAGAGCACCUGCCUUACAAGCAGGGGGUCACAGGUUCGAGCCCUGUAGGUCCCA
This is a non-coding RNA of Eubacterium uniforme, 73 nucleotides long. NCBI's taxonomy places the organism in Bacteria, Bacillati, Bacillota, Clostridia, Eubacteriales, Eubacteriaceae. The record is from Rfam.